This 256-nucleotide ribosomal RNA is filed under the name uncultured bacterium. Its description in RNAcentral is "partial 16S ribosomal RNA". It matches the Rfam family "Bacterial small subunit ribosomal RNA", at positions 74 to 334 of the family's 1533-position model. The record is from RNAcentral.
CAAUAUAAGUGAUGGCGACCGGCGCACGGGUGAGUAACACGUAUCCAACCUGCCGAUAACUCGGGGAUAGCCUUUCGAAAGAAAGAUUAAUACCCGAUGGUAUAAUAAAACCGCAUGGUUUAAUUAUUAAAGAAUUUCGGUUAUCGAUGGGGAUGCGUUCCAUUAGGCAGUUGGUGAGGUAACGGCUCACCAAACCUUCGAUGGAUAGGGGUUCUGAGAGGAAGGUCCCCCACAUUGGAACUGAGCCACGGUCCAA